UACGAAGGGGGGCUAGCGUUGCUCGGAAUCACUGGGCGUAAAGGGUGCGUAGGCGGGUCUUUUAAGUCAGGGGGUGAAAUCCUGGAGCUCAACUCCAGAACUGCCUUUGAUACUGAGGACCUUGAGUUCGGGAGAGGUGAGUGGAACUGCGAGUGUAGAGGUGAAAUUCGUAGAUAUUCGCAAGAACACCGGUGGCGAAGGCGGGUCUCUGGGGCCCGAUACUGACGCUGAGGAGCGAAAAGCGUGGGGGAGCGAACAGG
Molecule: ribosomal RNA, 260 nt
Filed under: uncultured bacterium
Lineage: Bacteria
Description: partial 16S ribosomal RNA
Rfam family: Bacterial small subunit ribosomal RNA
Source: RNAcentral